UACCAAUUUGACCACGGGGUUCUGUUGCGCAAGUGGACUCCGGUGUCUGGGUUAGAGGGUGAUGUGGUCACUCAGGUUGUGGUGCCGACGGAGUACCGACCCCAGGUUUUGAGUCUUGCCCAUGAGCAUCAUCUGUCAGGCCACUUAGGGAUUAGAAAAACGUAUGACAGAGUGCUCCGCUAUUUUUUUUGGCCAGGGCUUAAAUCUGAUGUGGCUCUUUAUUGUCGGUCCUGUCAUGUUUGUCAGGUGUCUGGCAAGCCCAAUCAGGUCAUCCCUCCUGCCCCUUUACAUCCUAUCCCUGCAAUAGGUGAGCCCUUCGAACAUGUCAUAGUGGACUGUGUAGGGCCCUUGCCGAAGACCAAGGCAGGUUACCAGUAUGUACUUACCAUAAUGUGUGCGGCUACACGGUUUCCAGAAGCUAUUCCCCUGCGAUCGCUCAGGGCAAAGGCCGUUAGAAAGCACUAGUUCAGUUUUUUUCUACAUUUGGGUUACGAAAUACAUUCAAACCGACCAGGGAUCUAAUUUCCUGUCUAGGGUUUUUGCUCAAGUUAUGUCUGAACUGUCUGUUAAGCACCGGGUGUCUAGUGCUUAUCACCCAGAAACUCAGGGGCAUUGGGCGAUUCCACCAGACUCUAAAGGCCAUGUUGCGGAAGUACUGUGUUGAAACUGAUGCAGAAUGGGAUGUGGGCCUGCCAUUGUUGUUGUUUGCCAUUCGAGAAGCCACACAGGAGUCCCUGGGUUUUAGCCCGGCAGAGUUGGUUUUUGGGCACACUGUGCGUGGACCCUUACGUCUGCUCCAGGAGAGGUGGCUUGCAGACCAGCCGAGACCCGCGCACAAUGUACUUGAUUAUGUGAGUUCGUUUAGGGAGAGGUUGCACGCUGCGUGUGAGUUGGCACGUAGCUCGCUUUCUAAUGCCCAGAGUAAUAUGAAGGAGAGGUAUGAUAGGAAAACCCUCAAGCGUACCUUUCUGCCUGGUGAGCAUGUUUUGGUUUUCCUACCAGUUGUGGGUUCAUGUCUUCAAGCUCGCUUCAGUGGUCCUUAUGAGGUUGAGCGCCAAAUCAGUGACACAGAUUAUCUGAUUAAAACCCCAGAUAGGCGGAAAAAGUCCCGGGUCUGUCACAUCAACAUGUUAAAGAAAUAUGUGGUCCGUGAAAAGACUCAUACCAACAUGGGCUCCCCUGUUGUGACGGUGGGAUCACCCUCCUACCAACCUGAGGUGGAUGGGUUGCAUGAGCACCAGGAACCAAGUUCUGGGGCAC
Molecule: long non-coding RNA, 1260 nt
Organism: Oreochromis aureus
Lineage: Eukaryota; Metazoa; Chordata; Actinopteri; Cichliformes; Cichlidae
Source: Ensembl